ACUCCUACGGGAGGCAGCAGUGGGGAAUAUUGCACAAUGGGCGCAAGCCUGAUGCAGCCAUGCCGCGUGUAUGAAGAAGGCCUUCGGGUUGUAAAGUACUUUCAGCAGUGAGGAAGGUGGGUAUGUUAAUAGCAUAUUCAUUUGACGUUAGCUGCAGAAGAAGCACCGGCUAACUCCGUGCCAGCAGCCGCGGUAAUACGGAGGGUGCGAGCGUUAAUCGGAAUUACUGGGCGUAAAGCGCAUGCAGGUGGUUUGUUAAGUCAGAUGUGAAAGCCCGGGGCUCAACCUCGGAAUUGCAUUUGAAACUGGCAAACUAGAGUACUGUAGAGGGGGGUAGAAUUUCAGGUGUAGCGGUGAAAUGCGUAGAGAUCUGAAGGAAUACCGGUGGCGAAGGCGGCCCCCUGGACAGAUACUGACACUCAGAUGCGAAAGCGUGGGGAGCAAACAGGAUUAGAUACCCUGGUAGC
This 467-nucleotide ribosomal RNA is filed under the name uncultured bacterium. RNAcentral describes it as "bacterial SSU rRNA". It matches the Rfam family "Bacterial small subunit ribosomal RNA", at positions 335 to 794 of the family's 1533-position model. The record is from RNAcentral.